UCCAAGCCUUCUCCUCUCCAGGCUGCACAGUCCCGACUCUCUCAGCCUGUGCUCAGAGCAGAGCUGCUGCAGCCCUCUCAGCAUCUUGGUGGCCUCUUCUAGACUGGCUCCCACAGCUCCUGCUUGUGCUGGGGGCUGCAGAGCUGUGCACAGGACUGCAGCAGCCACCAGGACAUUGUGGUGACUGCAAGCCUGCCACUUACCCAGACUAAGUGAUCAUGGGCGGCUCUUGAGAUUGGAUGGAAGCUACCAGCAGCACCAGAAAAUUCUUGGCAGAGGCACAGCCCCCAGGUUCGUAACUCACUCUCCGCCUAAAGGAGACAGCCUGGCAGCGGCUCCGUGCUAGGCACCAGCAGGCUCCCCACCUUUUCCUCGGGGGAGCAAACGCUUCCCUGUCCCCUCUGCUCCUGUCUCCUGAACAGACCGAGCAGUAAACGAGUAACUAAACACUCAGUCUGCAGCUGUCUUUGCACUGAUGGGAUCUGAGGCACAGCUGUGAAG
Long non-coding RNA from Pogoniulus pusillus (Red-fronted tinkerbird), 501 nucleotides. RefSeq lists it as uncharacterized. The record is from RefSeq and is a predicted model, not a curated record. The transcript is spliced from 4 exons. NCBI's taxonomy places the organism in Eukaryota, Metazoa, Chordata, Aves, Piciformes, Lybiidae.